RNAcentral lists this ribosomal RNA (430 nucleotides) under Chloroflexota bacterium. Its description in RNAcentral is "Chloroflexi bacterium partial 16S ribosomal RNA". It matches the Rfam family "Bacterial small subunit ribosomal RNA", at positions 355 to 776 of the family's 1533-position model. The record is from RNAcentral. RNAcentral also lists the same sequence under 3 other names. Lineage: Bacteria; Bacillati; Chloroflexota.
UAGGGAAUCUUCGGCAAUGGACGCAAGUCUGACCGAGCAACGCCGCGUGAGUGAAGAAGGUUUUCGGAUCGUAAAACUCUGUUGUUAGAGAAGAACAAGGAUGAGAGUAGAAUGUUCAUCCCUUGACGGUAUCUAACCAGAAAGCCACGGCUAACUACGUGCCAGCAGCCGCGGUAAUACGUAGGUGGCAAGCGUUGUCCGGAUUUAUUGGGCGUAAAGCGAGCGCAGGCGGUUUCUUAAGUCUGAUGUGAAAGCCCCCGGCUCAACCGGGGAGGGUCAUUGGAAACUGGGAAACUUGAGUGCAGAAGAGGAGAGUGGAAUUCCAUGUGUAGCGGUGAAAUGCGUAGAUAUAUGGAGGAACACCAGUGGCGAAGGCGGCUCUCUGGUCUGUAACUGACGCUGAGGCUCGAAAGCGUGGGGAGCAAACAGG